RNAcentral lists this non-coding RNA (920 nucleotides) under Cryptosporidium parvum. Lineage: Eukaryota; Apicomplexa; Conoidasida; Eucoccidiorida; Cryptosporidiidae. The record is from RNAcentral.
UUCAAACUUGUAUUAUUUCUGCUUUCGUUUUCUGGAAUACUUGUAAUAAUAACAGACUUAGCAAUAUCAACACGUUCUGUAAGUGACUUUGAUGGAAGGACGUUGACUAAUAAAGCCUGUGAAUCACUUGACAUAAUGUUGAAUACCUGAACAUUACUUGCUUGCGGGAAUAUAAAAGAGUUGAGAGGAGUUCGAGAUUUUAAAGACUUCUCUGAUUGACCGGUAAGAGGUUUCAUAGAUUUAACUAGUUGUGAUUCGCUAGUUCUAUUAGUAGAUAAGGGAACAACUCGACUCAAUGAGGUUCUGGUUUCAUUGACAAGAGCUUGAUUUAGAGAUUUUGAUCUAGUUUCUUCUCCAGUGUUACCUAAUACGACUGGACCUAAUCCCGUAGACCCUAGUCCACGCUCACCUCUAUCGGUUUCAUCAAGUUGAUCAACUAAGCUAAAUGAGACAGGUUUACCAUCGUAACCAGUAAGAGAGACGUAUCUUUGCCCAAUUUUUAAUUCAUAAUCAUAAUCUUUAAUAUUGUCGAAAGGAAUUCUUAAUUCGCCUCUAAAACCAGCAUCAAAUAUCCCGCCAGGAACAGCCAAUCUAAGUGGACUUUUAGAAAUAGAAGAUCUUCCAACAAUAGUAUAACUAGAAGGUUCAUUAUAAUCAUCAUAAGCAGCAAUCUUAAACCAGUCCUAACAAAACCAGUUUCUCCUGCUUUAAUAAUCUGAUCUUCGAUGAUGAAUAAAUCUAACCCCGAGUCCCCUUUAUAAUGAAUAGUGUGAUUGCUAUAAAGCUGUUGAGCAAUAAUAGUUAGUGGUAAAAUAAGAAAACGCAUCUUAUGCCUUAAAUAAAGAAGCAAGUAUAUACUAAAAAACGAGGAAUGUAAUAAAGAUUUUAUUGCACGUAAAAAAAAUCUAAGUGUUUGAAGU